Molecule: ribosomal RNA, 497 nt
Filed under: uncultured bacterium
Lineage: Bacteria
Description: partial 16S ribosomal RNA
Rfam family: Bacterial small subunit ribosomal RNA
Source: RNAcentral
GAUGAACGCUGGCGGCGUGCCUAAUACAUGCAAGUCGAGCGAACGGACGAGAAGCUUGCUUCUCUGAUGUUAGCGGCGGACGGGUGAGUAACACGUGGAUAACCUACCUAUAAGACUGGGAUAACUUCGGGAAACCGGAGCUAAUACCGGAUGAUAUAUUGAACCGCAUGGUUCAAAAGUGAAAGACGGUCUUGCUGUCACUUAUAGAUGGAUCCGCGCUGCAUUAGCUAGUUGGUAAGGUAACGGCUUACCAAGGCAACGAUGCAUAGCCGACCUGAGAGGGUGAUCGGCCACACUGGAACUGAGACACGGUCCAGACUCCUACGGGAGGCAGCAGUAGGGAAUCUUCCGCAAUGGGCGAAAGCCUGACGGAGCAACGCCGCGUGAGUGAUGAAGGUCUUCGGAUCGUAAAACUCUGUUAUUAGGGAAGAACAUAUGUGCAAGUAACUGUGCACAUCUUGACGGUACCUAAUCAGAAAGCCACGGCUAACUACGUG